CCCGGCCAUAGUGGCCGGGCAACACCCGGUCUCGUAUCGAACCCGGAAGUUAAGCCGGCCACGUCAGGGUGGCAGUGAGGUCCGCGAGGCCUCGCAGCC
RNAcentral lists this ribosomal RNA (99 nucleotides) under Thermosphaera aggregans DSM 11486. Lineage: Archaea; Thermoproteati; Thermoproteota; Thermoprotei; Desulfurococcales; Desulfurococcaceae. The record is from RNAcentral.